CCUACGGGGGGCUGCAGUGGGGAAUUUUGGACAAUGGGGGCAACCCUGAUCCAGCCAUGCCGCGUGCGGGAAGAAGGCCUUCGGGUUGUAAACCGCUUUUGUCAGGGAAGAAAUCUUCCGAGCUAAUACCUUGGGAGGAUGACGGUACCUGAAGAAUAAGCACCGGCUAACUACGUGCCAGCAGCCGCGGUAAUACGUAGGGUGCAAGCGUUGAUCGGAAUUAGCGGGGGUAAUGCGGCCGCAGGGGGGUGAAAUCCCCGGGCUUACCCUGGGAACUGCACUUGUGACUGUACGGCUGGAGUACGGCAGAGGGGGAUGGAAUUCCGCGUGUAGCAGUGAAAUGCGUAGAUAUGCGGAGGAACACCGAUGGCGAAGGCAGUCCCCUGGGCCUGUACUGACGCUCAUGCACGAAAGCGUGGGGAGCAAACAGGAUUAGAUACCCUUGUAGUC
Molecule: ribosomal RNA, 450 nt
Filed under: uncultured bacterium
Lineage: Bacteria
Description: partial 16S ribosomal RNA
Rfam family: Bacterial small subunit ribosomal RNA
Source: RNAcentral